RNAcentral lists this transfer-messenger RNA (239 nucleotides) under Candidatus Woesebacteria bacterium RIFOXYC1_FULL_43_18. RNAcentral describes it as "partial transfer-messenger RNA". It matches the Rfam family "transfer-messenger RNA", at positions 123 to 374 of the family's 374-position model. Rfam says of the family: Bacterial tmRNA, also known as 10Sa RNA or SsrA, is named for its dual tRNA and mRNA-like properties. Its role is to liberate the mRNA from a stalled ribosome. Lineage: Bacteria; Candidatus Woeseibacteriota. The record is from RNAcentral.
CGUACGCUUAACUGACGUCCUUAGAUUCGAUUCUCGGUUGAAUCAAAAGGGUGUAAACCAAUCCGGGAUGCUAUGUCAACUUUAUGAUUUAAAGGUUGCCAUCUAAGCCAAAUAAAUCUUACUUCGGGCUGCCUGUGAAUUGGCUUAAACCUGAAGGAAAUCACAAAAAUUCAAUAAGCUUGUAGAAGUUUUGCAGGAAGCGUUUUCGGACGCGGGUUCGAUUCCCGCCGUCUCCACCA